AUUGAACGCUGGCGGCAGGCCUAACACAUGCAAGUCGAGCGGAUGAAGGGAGCUUGCUCCUGGAUUCAGCGGCGGACGGGUGAGUAAUGCCUAGGAAUCUGCCUGGUAGUGGGGGAUAACGUCCGGGAACGGGCGCUAAUACCGCAUACGUCCUGAGGGAGAAAGUGGGGGAUCCUCGGACCUCACGCUAUCAGAUGAGCCUAGGUCGGAUUAGCUAGUUGGUGGGGUAAAGGCCUACCAAGGCGACGAUCCGUAACUGGUCUGAGAGGAUGAUCAGUCACACUGGAACUGAGACACGGUCCAGACUCCUACGGGAGGCAGCAGUGGGGAAUAUUGGACAAUGGGCGAAAGCCUGAUCCAGCCAUGCCGCGUGUGUGAAGAAGGUCUUCGGAUUGUAAAGCACUUUAAGUUGGGAGGAAGGGCAGUAAGUUAAUACCUUGCUGUUUUGACGUUACCAACAGAAUAAGCACCGGCUAACUUCGUG
RNAcentral lists this ribosomal RNA (484 nucleotides) under uncultured bacterium. RNAcentral's name for it is "partial 16S ribosomal RNA". It matches the Rfam family "Bacterial small subunit ribosomal RNA", at positions 30 to 507 of the family's 1533-position model. The record is from RNAcentral.